This 492-nucleotide ribosomal RNA is filed under the name uncultured bacterium. Its description in RNAcentral is "partial 16S ribosomal RNA". It matches the Rfam family "Bacterial small subunit ribosomal RNA", at positions 29 to 507 of the family's 1533-position model. The record is from RNAcentral.
AGUGAACGCUGGCGGUAGGCCUAACACAUGCAAGUCGAACGGCAGCACAGUAAGAGCUUGCUCUUACGGGUGGCGAGUGGCGGACGGGUGAGGAAUACAUCGGAAUCUACUUUUUCGUGGGGGAUAACGUAGGGAAACUUACGCUAAUACCGCAUACGACCUACGGGUGAAAGCAGGGGAUCUUCGGACCUUGCGCGAUUGAAUGAGCCGAUGUCGGAUUAGCUAGUUGGCGGGGUAAAGGCCCACCAAGGCGACGAUCCGUAGCUGGUCUGAGAGGAUGAUCAGCCACACUGGAACUGAGACACGGUCCAGACUACUACGGGAGGCAGCAGUGGGGAAUAUUGGACAAUGGGCGCAAGCCUGAUACAGCCAUACCGCGUGGGUGAAGAAGGCCUUCGGGUUGUAAAGCCCUUUUGUUGGGAAAGAAAAGCAGCAGGUUAAUACCCCGCUGUUCUGACGGUACCCAAAGAAUAAGCACCGGCUAACUUCGUG